AAUUGCCUGCCCACUCAGGUUUCUAAAUUAUUCUCCAUUCAUAUCUGAAAUCUCCUUUAGAGCCUGUGGGUUUCAUUCCUACAUCUGUGCCAGUUUUGAUCUCUCAGGAAUGAUUCAGCAAGUUCAGUGGUGCACUGAGUUACAGGCAGGAAACUGGGAGGCUCUCUAAAGGCAUACUUGCCUACACAUAACAGGCCAUCCUUUCUUCUCAUACGUCUCCCUAGCUUCCUGGGCACAAGGAACAUCAUUCCUUCUCAUGCAUGGUCUGCAGUGAUGAGGAAGAAACUGAGAGCCAGAGAGGGGAGGCAACUUGUCCCAAAUCUUACAGCUUGAGCCACUGCUGGACCUAAGUCUUCAGAGUCCCAUGUUUAGAGUUGUCUUUGCUACAUGGUCCUGCCUAACUACAUAUGUAGUGAGAGGAAGAAAAAGUUAUUUCCAGCUAAUUUCAAAGAUAGACUCUAAAUGCUGUUUAUGUUCUUAAAUUCUCAUGACAUCCAUGCAAAGAGAUCCACAUACCAAGACCCAUAAAAUGCCAGAAGCAAUUACUGGAAACAAAGCAGUGAAUUGUCAUAAUUGAGUGUAUAUUGUCUUUCACAGGAUCUGUGCAUUUAUAGAUGUGCCAUUUCCACAGCAGAUCAGUUGUUCUCAUCUUGGCUGCUCACUGGAUCAUCUGGGAAGUUUUAAGAAAACACUGAGGUGUGAGCCAGGCACUAGGAGUUGAAAAACCUCCCUAGAGAGAAUCUAGUGAGCAACUGGUGUUGAGAACCCCUCCUCUGGAUUGUGAGUUCUUGGAAGGCAGAAUUUUCAUCCUUGAACCCCCUGGAACACCAUGCCAUAGAGUAAUUGUUAAUUGAAACUGAGGACACAAUGCUGAAAGUUCUUACAGAGAGCAGCUAUGUCAGAGUGGAAAAGACAUGGCCUUUGACAUCAAAAAUACCUAUUUGCAUCUCAAUCUUGCCAUUUAGUAGCUGUGACUUCACACACGACAGUUGCUCUGAGCCAUCUAUAAAACGAAUAUAAAGAUGAUACCAACUUCCCAGGGACAUUAUGAGCUCAGCUAAGAUUAUUUAGCUUUUAUAAAGGUCCUUGGUAACAGCAAAGACUUUGUCAAGUAUUGUUAUUUC
RNAcentral lists this long non-coding RNA (1124 nucleotides) under Homo sapiens (human). RNAcentral describes it as "HSALNT0179388". Lineage: Eukaryota; Metazoa; Chordata; Mammalia; Primates; Hominidae. The record is from RNAcentral.